AAAUUGAAGAGUUUGAUCAUGGCUCAGAUUGAACGCUGGCGGCAGGCCUAACACAUGCAAGUCGAACGGUAACAGGAAUCAGCUUGCUGAUUUGCUGACGAGUGGCGGACGGGUGAGUAAUGUCUGGGAAACUGCCUGAUGGAGGGGGAUAACUACUGGAAACGGUAGCUAAUACCGCAUAACGUCGCAAGACCAAAGAGGGGGACCUUCGGGCCUCUUGCCAUCGGAUGUGCCCAGAUGGGAUUAGCUAGUAGGUGGGGUAAAGGCUCACCUAGGCGACGAUCCCUAGCUGGUCUGAGAGGAUGACCAGCCACACUGGAACUGAGACACGGUCCAGACUCCUACGGGAGGCAGCAGUGGGGAAUAUUGCACAAUGGGCGCAAGCCUGAUGCAGCCAUGCCGCGUGUAUGAAGAAGGCCUUCGGGUUGUAAAGUACUUUCAGCGGGGAGGAAGGGAGUAAAGUUAAUACCUUUGCUCAUUGACGUUACCCGCAGAAGAAGCACCGGCUAACUCCGUGCCAGCAGCCGCGGUAAUACGGAGGGUGCAAGCGUUAAUCGGAAUUACUGGGCGUAAAGCGCACGCAGGCGGUUUGUUAAGUCAGAUGUGAAAUCCCCGGGCUCAACCUGGGAACUGCAUCUGAUACUGGCAAGCUUGAGUCUCGUAGAGGGGGGUAGAAUUCCAGGUGUAGCGGUGAAAUGCGUAGAGAUCUGGAGGAAUACCGGUGGCGAAGGCGGCCCCCUGGACGAAGACUGACGCUCAGGUGCGAAAGCGUGGGGAGCAAACAGGAUUAGAUACCCUGGUAGUCCACGCCGUAAACGAUGUCGACUUGGAGGUUGUGCCCUUGAGGCGUGGCUUCCGGAGCUAACGCGUUAAGUCGACCGCCUGGGGAGUACGGCCGCAAGGUUAAAACUCAAAUGAAUUGACGGGGGCCCGCACAAGCGGUGGAGCAUGUGGUUUAAUUCGAUGCAACGCGAAGAACCUUACCUGGUCUUGACAUCCACGGAAGUUUUCAGAGAUGAGAAUGUGCCUUCGGGAACCGUGAGACAGGUGCUGCAUGGCUGUCGUCAGCUCGUGUUGUGAAAUGUUGGGUUAAGUCCCGCAACGAGCGCAACCCUUAUCCUUUGUUGCCAGCGGUCCGGCCGGGAACUCAAAGGAGACUGCCAGUGAUAAACUGGAGGAAGGUGGGGAUGACGUCAAGUCAUCAUGGCCCUUACGACCAGGGCUACACACGUGCUACAAUGGCGCAUACAAAGAGAAGCGAUCUCGCGAGAGCAAGCGGACCUCAUAAAGUGCGUCGUAGUCCGGAUUGGAGUCUGCAACUCGACUCCAUGAAGUCGGAAUCGCUAGUAAUCGUGGAUCAGAAUGCCACGGUGAAUACGUUCCCGGGCCUUGUACACACCGCCCGUCACACCAUGGGAGUGGGUUGCAAAAGAAGUAGGUAGCUUAACCUUCGGGAGGGCGCUUACCACUUUGUGAUUCAUGACUGGGGUGAAGUCGUAACAAGGUAACCGUAGGGGAACCUGCGGUUGGAUCACCUCCUUA
Molecule: ribosomal RNA, 1542 nt
Filed under: Escherichia coli
Lineage: Bacteria; Pseudomonadati; Pseudomonadota; Gammaproteobacteria; Enterobacterales; Enterobacteriaceae
Also listed under: 3 other names
Description: bacterial SSU rRNA
Rfam family: Bacterial small subunit ribosomal RNA
Source: RNAcentral